GACGAACGCUGGCGGCGUGCUUAACACAUGCAAGUCGAACGGAAAGGCCCUGCUUUUGUGGGGUGCUCGAGUGGCGAACGGGUGAGUAACACGUGAGUAACCUGCCCUUGACUUUGGGAUAACUUCAGGAAACUGGGGCUAAUACCGGAUAGGAGCUCCUGCUGCAUGGUGGGGGUUGGAAAGUUUCGGCGGUUGGGGAUGGACUCGCGGCUUAUCAGCUUGUUGGUGGGGUAGUGGCUUACCAAGGCUUUGACGGGUAGCCGGCCUGAGAGGGUGACCGGCCACAUUGGGACGGGGAUACGGCCCAGACCCCUACGGGAGGCAGGGGUGGGGAAUAUUGCACAAUGGGCGGAAGCCUGAUGCAGCAACGCCGCGUGGGGGAUGACGGCCUUCGGGUUGUAAACCGCUUUCGCCUGUGACGAAGCGUGAGUGACGGUAAUGGGUAAAGAAGCACCGGCUAACUACGUG
Molecule: ribosomal RNA, 468 nt
Filed under: uncultured bacterium
Lineage: Bacteria
Description: partial 16S ribosomal RNA
Rfam family: Bacterial small subunit ribosomal RNA
Source: RNAcentral